RNAcentral lists this long non-coding RNA (526 nucleotides) under Olea europaea (common olive). RNAcentral's name for it is "long non-coding RNA (OEUR_LNC007347)". The record is from RNAcentral. Lineage: Eukaryota; Viridiplantae; Streptophyta; Magnoliopsida; Lamiales; Oleaceae.
GUGAUUUAGUUGUCAGUUGUUCUAUAGCAAUUUGUUUUGAGGAUAUAAACACUUCAUCAACCUCUGGUUUAUUCCCACAAGACAUUCCCGGUUCCCCACCCAGCAUUUUACCUCUAUACAAGUUCGAAAUUGGCUUCUUUCAUGAACGAACAAUUAUUAUUUCAUAGUGCGUUCUUGUGUAUUUUACCACUUGGAUGCAGAAGUUGAAGAGGUUGUACUUUGGUUUAAAUGAUUAAGGGAGCUAUAAUGUGUUCCAUCUUGAAUUCAAGCCUUUGUUUUAAUUGUGCAUUAGGACAUGUUGCUAGUGGACAGUAUUGUACAUAAUAACAUAAAAUGUAACUUAUUUUUCGUUGUAUAUAGUAAUGCUACAAGAAAAAUUGCUCUUAUUACCCAAAAGAAAGAAAAAAUAAAUUGGUAAUUCAAAUUGCUAUUGAUCACUUCAAUUUUUUUAAUUUGAUAAACUUCCUAGACGUACUGUAAUAGCUGCAGUAGCGCAUGCAUAACACGUAUGCAUAACACGUAAAAG